This 726-nucleotide long non-coding RNA is filed under the name Equus asinus (donkey). RNAcentral describes it as "lncRNA (ENSEASG00005027776.1, ENSEASG00020031659.1)". The record is from RNAcentral. Lineage: Eukaryota; Metazoa; Chordata; Mammalia; Perissodactyla; Equidae.
CUGAUCAGUCCAUAUCCCUGCCAAUGAUUGGUUGAUGUGUAGGCAUGUGAUGUCCAUCUGGCCAAUGAGACCAGAGUGGAUUCUGUUCCUCGCCUCUUAUAACCCCGAUGAUGCAGAGGAGAGUCUGAACUCGGGCCCGUCCGCCAACGAGCAGAGGUGCCGAGACAGGGACCAGGGAGUGUGUCUGGAGAUGGAGAUUCGAGAGGAGGUGGAGCGGAGGCUAGAACUCCAAGAGUCACCCACGCCCUCGAGCGAGGACCCCAAAGGGCACAGCAAGAACACAGCAGGCGUCAGACCCUGGAGGGACUUGAAGGCCAAGGACCAGAAUGUUGACAUUCUUCUUUGUUUUUUUUAAACCAAUCUUGAUUAUUCUUGACCCUGAGUACACAUCUUUUCCAUCUUCUACGUGAGGAACGGCAAGCACGGGGUGAAGGUUUCUGCCGCACAGAGAAGCACCAAGGCUAUCGCCAGGAAAGCUCUCGUGCGGUGGUUCUGAGUUCCUCCUGCCUCCCCACGCGUUAGAAGAGAGUGGCACCCCGGGUCUGACCUUGCCAAAAUUGUCCGCUCCUCUAGGAAGGAAGAAAUCUCUACACUGAUCAGCAAAAUGUUUCUGUAAUUCUGGAAACCCAGUGACCAGGUCACUAGCUUUCAGGCUGUCUUGUCUCACAGCUGCUGAGGCUGAUAAGUGACGUUCCAUCUUUUUAGGCUACAUUAAUUUAAAUAAAG